GGGGAUGUGGCCAACUGUGUGGAGUGUUACAUGAAUGAGCACAAGGUCACACAAGAGGUCGCCUUUGCAGCGAUGGAUUCGCUGACAGAAGACGAAUGGAAGACCACCAACCAAGCUCGAUUUGAACAUCCUCGUGACCUGCUACCGGCGGUGCAACGGAUUAUCAGCUACACUCUCAGCAUGCCGGUGUACUACAACGGCAGGAAGGAUGCCUUCACCUUCAGCUCACAUCUUGACGAAGUCGUUGAAGGCCUCUUCCUCAAGCCCAUCCCCAUCUAG
Molecule: ribosomal RNA, 279 nt
Filed under: Triticum aestivum (bread wheat)
Lineage: Eukaryota; Viridiplantae; Streptophyta; Magnoliopsida; Poales; Poaceae
Description: partial small subunit ribosomal RNA
Source: RNAcentral